Molecule: long non-coding RNA, 866 nt
Organism: Thunnus maccoyii (southern bluefin tuna)
Lineage: Eukaryota; Metazoa; Chordata; Actinopteri; Scombriformes; Scombridae
Exons: 6
Source: RefSeq, a predicted model, not a curated record
CUCCAGCACUCUACUGAGGCCAUUUUGUUAUUUGCGGUGCCUCCCUGCUGUGCUUCAAAGAGUGCCAUCGCCACUCUGUGGUCUCGAGCAAUGUCCCGCCCACAGCACUAUCUGAUUGGUUACACACCACAAGUAAUAGCCUGUCAACACUGAAGGAUGGGCAUGCUACUGUGCCACUGACAGUGCAGAGAGGCAUCCACAGACUGGAGCAGCUCCAGUGGGCAAGCGGAUUUGUGCUUCGAAGAUCAUGAACUCAGCCCCAACACACUGGAAACUCAUUUCCUGUCUCCACAGGCUGUCUGCUGCUCUUGAUUUCCCUCACCACUCCAACAACAUACAGCAACCUCAGUCAUUGACAAAGAGAGACUGGGCUUGUACUGGGCAGCGUCUUUUUUACUUAAUACAGUGUCCCUGGUGAGAAGGUAUCCAGGAGAAUGUGGGCGUGGCAGCCAGUCAGAUUCAGACCACCUGGGCCUAAUGCUCCCAGAGGAUAAAAGAUGAGCAACAACAAAAUGGAAGGAAAAACACUAGUUCUUCUCCAGAUGUCCCAUGGAGCUUCAGGAUCCACUGGGGCUUCAUCCAAGAGGACAGCUUGAAGAGAUGGCCCCCCCACUCUGAGUCCCAACUCCCCUUGGUUCCCUCCUUUAGUUCCACCACCAGCAUUGGUACAUCACCCUACACCUUCAUUUAUCUAUCCUCCACCCUUAUUCUCACCUUCAUCCCUUCAUCCCUUACCCUACACCCCUAUACCUUAAUUCUUCACUCUACAUCCCUCGUCCCUUCAUACCUUACCCUACAUCUGUCAUCCCUUCAUCCCUCGACCCUCAUUUCUUCAUCCCUCACCCCACAUCCCUCAUCCCUUCAUC